AUGAUGAAGCAGACUGCAUCAGACUACUGCAUAAUGUAUUUUUUCUCACCAUUCCACCUGUCCGGCUUUACCACUAAACUCAACAUUUAUACCAUCAAUACCUUCACAAACAGCAUCACCAGUCUUAUCACUAUUUCCAACAUCCCAACAAUUUUCAAUGCAAGCCUUACCAUCAUCACUACAGUCAUCAUCGUCCCCAACCUUCACACCAUCUUCAUCAUCUGCAUCAUCAAGCAGAUCAUCUUCAUCUUCACCAGUGUCAGCACAAUCAGCGUUAUCAUUCACACUAUCAUCAAUGCCACCAUCUUCAGCAAUAACUUCAACACUAACUUUAUUAACCUCACUAUCUUUACUUACAUCUUCAUCACCAACAUUAAUAUCAUUAUCAUCUUUCUCAUCAACACCAUCUUCACCUGUCCCACAAUUGUCAUUAUCAUCACCAUUAUCUUCAUAACACCAUACUCAGCACAAUCUUCAUCAGUACCAAUAUCAUCAUCAUCUUCUUCAACAUCUUCAUCACUAACAUUACCAUCAUCAACACCAUCUUCAUCUAUCCCACUAUCAGCAUCAACCUCAUCAGCACAGCCCUCACAGUCAGCAAACUCUGCAUCAUCUACCUCAUCCUUACUGUCAUCAACAGACUCGCAGCCUUCAUCACCAUCCACACCAACUUUAUCUUUAACAUUAACAUCUUCAUCAUUAUCAACACCUUCAGUACUAUCAACUCCACCAUCCUCAUCAUCUUUACCUUCCACAGCAGCAUCUUCAUCAGUCCCACUAUCGCCAUCCUCAUAUUCUUUUUUCUUCAUAUAUUUCUUCAUAUUCUACACUAUUAUCUACACCAUCUUCAUCAUCUUCACCACCAUCUUUAUCAUCAUCACCAUCUUCAAUACUAUCAACAACACCAUCCUCAUUAUCUUCAAUAUUCUCAGCACCUCCUUUAUCAGACCAACUAUCAUCAUCACCAACAUCACCAUCUUCAAUACUAUCAAAAACAUCAUCUCCACCAUCCUCAGCAUCAUCUUCAUAACUCCCAAUAUCAACAUCAUCAUCAUCAUCAUCAUCUUCUUCUAUACUAUCAUCUACGCCUCCUUUAUCACCAACUUUUCUUUCAUCUUUAUCAUCAUCAUCAACAACCGCCACUAG
This is a long non-coding RNA of Cyprinus carpio (common carp), 1146 nucleotides long. Lineage: Eukaryota; Metazoa; Chordata; Actinopteri; Cypriniformes; Cyprinidae. The record is from Ensembl.